Molecule: ribosomal RNA, 301 nt
Filed under: uncultured bacterium
Lineage: Bacteria
Description: partial 16S ribosomal RNA
Rfam family: Bacterial small subunit ribosomal RNA
Source: RNAcentral
CAGCAGCCGCGGUAAUACGAAGGGUGCAAGCGUUAAUCGGAAUUACUGGGCGUAAAGCGUGCGCAGGCGGUUAUAUAAGUCAGAUGUGAAGUCCCCGGGCUCAACCUGGGAACUGCAUUUGAGACUGUAUGGCUAGAGUGUGUCAGAGGGGGGUAGAAUUCCACGUGUAGCAGUGAAAUGCGUAGAUAUGUGGAGGAAUACCGAUGGCGAAGGCAGCCCCCUGGGAUAACACUGACGCUCAUGCACGAAAGCGUGGGGAGCAAACAGGAUUAGAUACCCGAGUAGUCCCUGUCUCUUAUAC